This 538-nucleotide ribosomal RNA is filed under the name Bufonaria perelegans. RNAcentral describes it as "partial 12S ribosomal RNA". It matches the Rfam family "Bacterial small subunit ribosomal RNA", at positions 542 to 1371 of the family's 1533-position model. The record is from RNAcentral. Lineage: Eukaryota; Metazoa; Mollusca; Gastropoda; Littorinimorpha; Bursidae.
AGUUAUGUAUAUUAAGGUAAAAAAUGCAGUUAAGUACAAAGUUAAUUAAAGAUUUAUUCAUUCCUUAUAAAAAGGUAAAAUUUAGAUAUAAGCGAAUAAUCUGGUAUAAAUCAAUUGAAAUUGAAGCUGCGACAGCCUUGAGGGAAACUGGGAUUAGAUACCCCAUUAUUCUUGGUCGUAAAUAAAUAGAGAUUUACCGGAGUACUAUGAAUCAAUUAAAUAAAAUUUAAAACUCAAAGGGCUUGGCGGUGUUUUAGACCUCUCAGGGGAACCUGUCUCAUAAUCGACAAUCCACGUUAAACCUAACCUCUAUUAGCAACUCAGUAUGUAUACCGUCGUCGUCAGGUAACUUUUAAAAAAGAAGAAGUUGGCAAAAAAAUUAGUUAAAUUUAAACGUCAGAUCAAGGUGCAGCUUAUAUAGGGGUGAGGAUGGGUUACAAUUAAAAUUUAUAAUUACGGAUAGGAUGCUGAAACUGGCUUCCUAAUGAAGGAGGACUUGAAAGUAAAGUAAAUUUAUAUAAAAAUAGUUUGAAUGAGG